This is a non-coding RNA of Heligmosomoides polygyrus, 71 nucleotides long. The record is from Rfam. Lineage: Eukaryota; Metazoa; Nematoda; Chromadorea; Rhabditida; Heligmosomidae.
GCGCUGGUGGUGUAAGGCGAACAUCGCUGCCAGGAAAGCAGAAGAUGCGGGUUCGAGUCCCGCCUGGCGCA